GAUGAACGCUAGCGGCAGGCCUAAUACAUGCAAGACGAACGGUAAGUUGAGUAGCAAUACUUAGCCAAGAGUGUCGUACGGGUGCGUAACACGUAUGCAACCUACCCUAUACAGGAGGAUAGCCUAGGGAAACCUGGAUUAACCCUUCAUAGUAUUAUUGGAUGGCAUCAUUUGAUAAUUAAAACUGAGGUGGUAUAGGAUGGGCAUGCGUCUGAUUAGUUAGUUGGCGGGGUAAUGGCCCACCAAGACGAUGAUCAGUAGGGGUUCUGAGAGGAAGAUCCCCCACACUGGCACUGAGAUACGGGCCAGACUCCUACGGGAGCAGCAGUAGGGAAUAUUGGUCAAUGGAUGCAAGUCUGAACCAGCCAUGCCGCGUGCAGGAAGAAGGCCUUUCUGGGGUUGUAAACUGCUUUUGCCAGGGGAUAAAAUUUCCAUGCGUGGAAAACUGAAGGUACCUGGUGAAUAAGCCACGGCUAACUACGUGCCAGCAGCCGCGGU
This 498-nucleotide ribosomal RNA is filed under the name uncultured bacterium. RNAcentral describes it as "bacterial SSU rRNA". It matches the Rfam family "Bacterial small subunit ribosomal RNA", at positions 28 to 521 of the family's 1533-position model. The record is from RNAcentral.